Molecule: ribosomal RNA, 497 nt
Filed under: uncultured bacterium
Lineage: Bacteria
Description: partial 16S ribosomal RNA
Rfam family: Bacterial small subunit ribosomal RNA
Source: RNAcentral
GAUGAACGCUGGCGGCGUGCCUAAUACAUGCAAGUCGAGCGAACGGACGAGAAGCUUGCUUCUCUGAUGUUAGCGGCGGACGGGUGAGUAACACGUGGAUAACCUACCUAUAAGACUGGGAUAACUUCGGGAAACCGGAGCUAAUACCGGAUAAUAUUUUGAACCGCAUGGUUCAAAAGUGAAAGACGGUCUUGCUGUCACUUAUAGAUGGAUCCGCGCUGCAUUAGCUAGUUGGUAAGGUAACGGCUUACCAAGGCAACGAUGCAUAGCCGACCUCAGAGGGUGAUCGGCCACACUGGAACUGGGACACGGUCCAGACUCCUACGGGAGGCAGCAGUAGGGAAUCUUCCGCAAUGGGCGAAAGCCUGACGGAGGAACGCCGCGUGAGUGAUGAAGGUCUUCGGAUCGUAAAACUCUGUUAUUAGGGAAGAACAUAUGUGUAAGUAACUGCGCACAUCUUGACGGUACCUAAUCAGAAAGCCACGGCUAACUACGUG